AUGAACGCUGGCGGCGUGCUUAACACAUGCAAGUCGAACGAUGAAGGAGGAGCUUGCUCCUCUGGAUUAGUGGCGAACGGGUGAGUAACACGUGAGCAAUCUGCCCCUGACUCUGGGAUAAGCGUUGGAAACGACGUCUAAUACCGGAUACGAGCUGAGAAGGCAUCUUCAGCAGCUGGAAAGAACUUCGGUCAGGGAUGAGCUCGCGGCCUAUCAGGUAGUUGGUGAGGUAAUGGCUCACCAAGCCUACGACGGGUAGCCGGCCUGAGAGGGUGACCGGCCACACUGGGACUGAGACACGGCCCAGACUCCUACGGGAGGCAGCAGUGGGGAAUAUUGCACAAUGGGCGAAAGCCUGAUGCAGCAACGCCGCGUGAGGGACGAAGGCCUUCGGGUCGUAAACCUCUUUUAGCAGGGAAGAAGCGAAAGUGACGGUACCUGCAGAAAAAGCACCGGCUAACUACGU
RNAcentral lists this ribosomal RNA (466 nucleotides) under uncultured bacterium. Its description in RNAcentral is "bacterial SSU rRNA". It matches the Rfam family "Bacterial small subunit ribosomal RNA", at positions 29 to 506 of the family's 1533-position model. The record is from RNAcentral.